Molecule: long non-coding RNA, 279 nt
Organism: Syngnathus acus (greater pipefish)
Lineage: Eukaryota; Metazoa; Chordata; Actinopteri; Syngnathiformes; Syngnathidae
Exons: 4
Source: RefSeq, a predicted model, not a curated record
GCCAGAGACCGCCGACGUGUCAGAAGGACCGACUGUGUCUGAGGACGCCGGCCAGGCAGACAUUUCGAUGCUAAACGACAACUGGGCCCAGAUGAACAAGAGCACCGAGAAGCUGCUCGGCCCCAAGAAACGCCGGAGCUUCCUUCACCAUGCCGUCCCGAUGGUGCUCGGUGUAGCGUUCCUCAUGCUAACAGUCACCAUCCUCGACAGGAUCACCAGACGGUGAAUACUUACAUGCUCACGUCUGAAGAAGCAAGAACGCCCACCCUUUUGCUCUCC